This 468-nucleotide ribosomal RNA is filed under the name uncultured bacterium. RNAcentral describes it as "partial 16S ribosomal RNA". It matches the Rfam family "Bacterial small subunit ribosomal RNA", at positions 28 to 507 of the family's 1533-position model. The record is from RNAcentral.
GACGAACGCUGGCGGCGUGCUUAACACAUGCAAGUCGAACGGACAGGCCCUGCUUUUGUUUCUUGCUCGUUAGCCGAACAGGGGAGUAACACAUGAGUAACCUGCCCUUGUCUUUGUGAUAACUUUAGGAAACUCCGGCUAUUACCGGAUAUAAUCUCCUGCUGCAUGGUGUGGGUUGGAGAGUUUCGGCGGUUGUGGAUGGACUGGCGGGUUAUCCGCUUGUUGGUGUGGUAGUUACUGACCAAGGCUUUGACGGGUAGCCGGCAUGAGAGGGGUACCGGCGACAUGGGGACUGCGAUACGGAGCAGACGCGUAUGGGACGCAGUAGUGGGGAACAUGGCAGAAUGGGCGGAAGCGUGUUGCAGCAAUGCUGCGUGCGGGAUGCUGGCUUUCGGGUGGUAAACAGCUGUGGCAGGUGCCGAAGCGUGAGUGACGGUAAUGGGUAAAGAAGCACCGGCUAACUACGUG